RNAcentral lists this long non-coding RNA (576 nucleotides) under Manacus vitellinus (golden-collared manakin). RNAcentral's name for it is "lncRNA (ENSMVIG00005019936.1)". Lineage: Eukaryota; Metazoa; Chordata; Aves; Passeriformes; Pipridae. The record is from RNAcentral.
UCUGCUUUUGUGGUCCACAGGUUGGGAAACAUGAGAGGGCAAGAUACCUGCUUUCAACAAAGAACUAAUUUCCUGAUCCUCAUGACCCUAGCGAGCCAAGCUUCCCCACAGAGAAACAAAUUGGAUGACUGUUUUAGGAUAAUUGGGUAGUUCUAUGCCUUACAACCUACAAGAAUGACAACCUGAGGACAACCAUGAGAGCCAGGAACAGGCCAUCAAACACAGCUUUAGAGGUCAUAUUCCUUUUGGCACCAGAAAGAACAAUGGCCAUAAGUGAUUUGCUUUGCAUUUAUGGCUUUUACCUUGCAUGCAACUCGUAUCACUUACAAACUCCCACAGAGAGUCUCUGCCCCCCUGAGAUGUUGUUACAAACCACGCACAAGCAGAAGUCUGAACAAAGAGGGCAGCUGCCUGAAAGCCACAGGAACACCUGAAGUCAGAGGAACUGCUACUUACCAGAACAGGUUCUACUACCUGGGUGUCUGGUCUAUCAUUUGGUAGGUCUGGGCACCAAUAUCCUUCCUGAACACAGGAGGUGCUGCAAAGGCAAAAGUGGAAGAGCCUAAAAUAAAAUAC